AGMMUAGAGUUUGAUCMUGGYUCGGGAAGAACGCYGGGSGGCAUGCCUAUUACAUCAAGUCGAACGAACUUUCCUYUUGAUUGAUGCYYGCMUCAUGAUUUAGAUMUAAGUGAGUGGCGGACGGGGUGAGUAACACGUGGGUAACCUGCCCAGAAGUGGGGGAUAACAUUUGGAAACAAGUGCUAAUACCGYAUAACAACAUUAAACACAUGUUUUUUGUUUAAAAGAUGGUUUUGCUAUCUCUUCUGGAUGGACCCGCGGCGUAUUAGCUAGUUGGUGAGGUAAUAGCUCACCAAGGCGAUGAUACGUAGCCGACCUGAGAGGGUAAUCGGCCACAUUGGGACUGAGACACGGCCCAAACUCCUACGGGAGGCAGCAGUAGGGAAUCUUCCACAAUGGACGAAAGUCUGAUGGAGCAAUGCCGCGUGAGUGAAGAAGGUUUUCGGAUCGUAAAACUCUGUUGUUGAAGAAGAACAUAUGUGAGAGUAACUGUUCACGUACUGACGGUAUUCAACCAGAAAGCCACGGCUAACUACGUGCCAGCAGCCGCGGUAAUACGUAGGUGGCAAGCGUUGUCCGGAUUUAUUGGGCGUAAAGAGAAUGUAGGCGGUUCAUUAAGUUUGAAGUGAAAGCCCUCGGCUCAACCGAGGAAGUGCUUCGAAAACUGGUGAACUUGAGUGCAGAAGAGGAAAGUGGAACUCCAUGUGUAGCGGUGGAAUGCGUAGAUAUAUGGAAGAACACCAGUGGCGAAGGCGGCUUCKGUCUGUAACKACGCUKAGA
RNAcentral lists this ribosomal RNA (780 nucleotides) under bacterium. RNAcentral describes it as "bacterial SSU rRNA". The record is from RNAcentral.